UUACCAUCUUGGCACGUCAGUUGAAAAGCUGCACACGCAAAGCUAUGGGCCUUAAGGGGUAAUAACCCUCAUGGUCGCCAGGCUGCAUCA
RNAcentral lists this non-coding RNA (90 nucleotides) under Arsukibacterium sp. MJ3. RNAcentral's name for it is "c-di-GMP-I riboswitch aptamer". It matches the Rfam family "c-di-GMP-I riboswitch aptamer". Rfam says of the family: GEMM was predicted in a large-scale screen for bacterial structured RNA regulatory elements. The record is from Rfam by way of RNAcentral. Lineage: Bacteria; Pseudomonadati; Pseudomonadota; Gammaproteobacteria; Chromatiales; Chromatiaceae. RNAcentral also lists the same sequence under 1 other name.